Molecule: unclassified non-coding RNA, 306 nt
Filed under: plant metagenome
Description: partial contains 5.8S ribosomal RNA, internal transcribed spacer 2, and large subunit ribosomal RNA
Rfam family: 5.8S ribosomal RNA (bases 1-105)
Source: RNAcentral
GAAAUGCGAUAAAUAAUAUCAAUUAUAGAAUUUAGUAAAUUAUUAAAUCUUUGAACGCAUAUUGCGCCCCUUAGUAUUCCGUGGGGUAUGCCUAUUCGAGCGUUAUCUAUACCCUUAAGCUCUACUUAGUGUUGGGCGUCUGUUCCGCCUUCGUGCGUGGAUUUAUUCUAAAUAUAUUAGUAGUGGUUUUUGCUUUCUCCUACGUAGUAUAUUACGCUUCUCGAGGCUGUGGUGGCCUACGUUUAAUAAGCUAAACCCCCCCGUUUUUAACCUUAGAUUAGAUAGGGAUACCCGCUGAACUUAAGC